AGAGUUUGAUCCUGGCUCAGAUUGAACGCUGGCGGAAUGCUUUACACAUGCAAGUCGAGCGGCAGCGCGGGGCAACCUGGCGGCGAGCGGCGAACGGGUGAGUAACAUAUCGGAACGUAUCCAUAAGUGGGGGACAACCUGGCGAAAGCCAGGCUAAUACCGCAUACGCAGGAGACUGAAAAGUGGGGGACCGCAAGGCCUCACGCUUUAGGAGCGGCCGAUAUCCGAUUAGCUUGUUGGUGAGGUAAAGGCUUACCAAGGCUAUGAUCGGUAGCUGGUCUGAGAGGAUGAUCAGCCACACUGGAACUGAGACACGGUCCAGACUCCUACGGGAGGCAGCAGUGGGGAAUUUUGGACAAUGGGGGCAACCCUGAUCCAGCCAUUCCGCGUGAGUGAAGAAGGCCUUCGGGUUGUAAAGCUCUUUUGUUCGGGACGAAACGGUUAAGGUUAAUAACCUUGACUACUGACGGUACCGGAAGAAUAAGCACCGGCUAACUACGUGCCAGCAGCCGCGGUAAU
RNAcentral lists this ribosomal RNA (519 nucleotides) under uncultured bacterium. RNAcentral's name for it is "bacterial SSU rRNA". It matches the Rfam family "Bacterial small subunit ribosomal RNA", at positions 8 to 524 of the family's 1533-position model. The record is from RNAcentral.